RNAcentral lists this ribosomal RNA (292 nucleotides) under uncultured bacterium. RNAcentral's name for it is "partial 16S ribosomal RNA". It matches the Rfam family "Bacterial small subunit ribosomal RNA", at positions 505 to 796 of the family's 1533-position model. The record is from RNAcentral.
GUGUCAGCCGCCGCGGUAAUACGAAGGGGGCUAGCGUUGCUCGGAAUUACUGGGCGUAAAGGGCGCGUAGGCGGCACUGUUAGUCAGGCGUGAAAGUCCUGGGCUCAACCUGGGAACUGCGCUUGAUACGGCAGAGCUAGAGGAUGGAAGAGGGUCGCGGAAUUCCCAGUGUAGAGGUGAAAUUCGUAGAUAUUGGGAAGAACACCGGUGGCGAAGGCGGCGACCUGGUCCAUUACUGACGCUGAGGCGCGACAGCGUGGGGAGCAAACAGGAUUAGAUACCCCUGUAGUCC